GAUGAACGCUGGCGGCGUGCCUAAUACAUGCAAGUCGAGCGAACAGACGAGGAGCUUGCUCCUCUGACGUUAGCGGCGGACGGGUGAGUAACACGUGGAUAACCUACCUAUAAGACUGGGAUAACUUCGGGAAACCGGAGCUAAUACCGGAUAAUAUAUUGAACCGCAUGGUUCAAUAGUGAAAGACGGUUUUGCUGUCACUUAUAGAUGGAUCCGCGCCGCAUUAGCUAGUUGGUAAGGUAACAGCUUACCAAGGCAACGAUGCGUAGCCGACCUGAGAGGGUGAUCGGCCACACUGGAACUGAGACACGGUCCAGACUCCUACGGGAGGCAGCAGUAGGGAAUCUUCCGCAAUGGGCGAAAGCCUGACGGAGCAACGCCGCGUGAGUGAUGAAGGUCCUCGGAUCGUAAAACUCUGUUAUUAGGGAAGAACAAAUGUGUAAGUAACUAUGCACGUCUUGACGGUACCUAAUCAGAAAGCCACGGCUAACUACGUG
RNAcentral lists this ribosomal RNA (497 nucleotides) under uncultured bacterium. RNAcentral describes it as "partial 16S ribosomal RNA". It matches the Rfam family "Bacterial small subunit ribosomal RNA", at positions 28 to 507 of the family's 1533-position model. The record is from RNAcentral.